UGCAAGUCCUGCUCCUUCGCACACAUCAUUGGACUCUCGCCGGGCAGCUCACCGGAUAGGACAGCGGAAUGAUAGCCGGGCUGAAGACCUUGCUUGACCAGCUGAGAGGAGGUGCAUGGCCGUCGUCAGUUCGUACUGUGAAGCAUCCUGUUUAGUCAGGCAACGAGCGAGACCCACGCCAACAGUUGCUAGCAUGUUCUCCGGAAUGAUGAGGACACUGUUGGGACCGCCUCUGCUAAAGAGGAGGAAGGAAUGGGCAACGGUAGGUCAGCAUGCCCCGAAUUAUCCGGGCUACACGCGGGCUACAAUGGUCAGGACAAUGGGAAACGGCACUGAAAAGUGUAGUCAAUCUCCUAAACCUGUCCCAAGUUCGGAUUGUGGGCUGCAACUCGCCCACAUGAAGCUGGAAUCCGUAGUAAUCGCGUUUCAAAAUAGCGCGGUGAAUAAGUCCCUGCUCCUUGCACACAAA
Molecule: ribosomal RNA, 469 nt
Filed under: uncultured archaeon
Lineage: Archaea
Description: bacterial SSU rRNA
Rfam family: Archaeal small subunit ribosomal RNA
Source: RNAcentral